This 532-nucleotide ribosomal RNA is filed under the name Actinospica sp. 645296. RNAcentral describes it as "bacterial SSU rRNA". It matches the Rfam family "Bacterial small subunit ribosomal RNA", at positions 93 to 640 of the family's 1533-position model. The record is from RNAcentral. Lineage: Bacteria; Bacillati; Actinomycetota; Actinomycetes; Catenulisporales; Actinospicaceae.
UAGUGGCGAACGGGUGAGUAACACGUGGGCAACCUGCCCUCCACUCUGGGAUAACUCCGGGAAACCGGGGCUAAUACCGGAUAUGAUCUGGGGUCGCAUGGCUUCGGGUGGAAAGUUUUUCGGUGGAGGAUGGGCCCGCGGCCUAUCAGCUUGUUGGUGGGGUGAUGGCCUACCAAGGCGGUGACGGGUAGCCGGCCUGAGAGGGCGACCGGCCACACUGGGACUGAGACACGGCCCAGACUCCUGCGGGAGGCAGCAGUGGGGAAUAUUGCGCAAUGGGCGGAAGCCUGACGCAGCGACGCCGCGUGAGGGAUGACGGCCUUCGGGUUGUAAACCUCUUUCAGCAGGGACCAAGGGUGACUGAGUGUACCUGCAGAAGAAGCACCGGCUAACUACGUGCCAGCAGCCGCGGUAAUACGUAGGGUGCGAGCGUUGUCCGGAUUUAUUGGGCGUAAAGGGCUCGUAGGCGGCCUGUCGCGUCGGGAGUGAAAGCCCACUGCUUAACGGUGGGUCUGCUUCCGGUACGGGCGGG